Molecule: ribosomal RNA, 497 nt
Filed under: uncultured bacterium
Lineage: Bacteria
Description: partial 16S ribosomal RNA
Rfam family: Bacterial small subunit ribosomal RNA
Source: RNAcentral
GAUGAACGCUGGCGGCGUGCCUAAUACAUGCAAGUCGAGCGAACAGACGAGGAGCUUGCUCCUCUGACGUUAGCGGCGGACGGGUGAGUAACACGUGGAUAACCUACCUAUAAGACUGGGAUAACUUCGGGAAACCGGAGCUAAUACCGGAUAAUAUAUUGAACCGCAUGGUUCAAUAGUGAAAGACGGUUUUGCUGUCACUUAUAGAUGGAUCCGCGCCGCAUUAGCUAGUUGGUAAGGUAACGGCUUACCAAGGCAACGAUGCGUAGCCGACCUGAGAGGGUGAUCGGCCACACUGGAAGUGAGACACGGUCCAGACUCCUACAGGAGGCAGCAGUAGGGAAUCUUCCGCGAUGGGCGAAAGCCUGACGGAGCAACGCCGCGUGAGUGAUGAAGGUCUUCGGAUCGUAAAACUCUGUUAUUAGGGAAGAACAAAUGUGUAAGUAACUAUGCACGUCUUGACGGUACCUGAUCAGAAAGCCACGGCUAACUACGUG